RNAcentral lists this transfer RNA (64 nucleotides) under Cucujoidea sp. 40 KM-2017. RNAcentral's name for it is "tRNA-His". The record is from RNAcentral. Lineage: Eukaryota; Metazoa; Arthropoda; Insecta; Coleoptera.
AUUUGAAUAGUUUAAAAAAAACAUUAGUUUGUGGUGCUAAAAAUAUAAUUAUUUAUUUCAGAUA